UCUGACGACCAUAGCCACCCGGUACCACGCCUUCCCAUCCCGAACAGGACCGUGAAACAGGUGCGCGCCGAUGAUAGUCAGGAUUGCCCUCGCGAAAGUAGGUCAUCGUCAGAC
This 114-nucleotide ribosomal RNA is filed under the name Thauera phenolivorans. The record is from RNAcentral. Lineage: Bacteria; Pseudomonadati; Pseudomonadota; Betaproteobacteria; Rhodocyclales; Zoogloeaceae.